RNAcentral lists this ribosomal RNA (3092 nucleotides) under Salmonella enterica. RNAcentral's name for it is "23S ribosomal RNA". It matches the Rfam family "Bacterial large subunit ribosomal RNA". RNAcentral also lists the same sequence under 1 other name. Lineage: Bacteria; Pseudomonadati; Pseudomonadota; Gammaproteobacteria; Enterobacterales; Enterobacteriaceae. The record is from RNAcentral.
GGUUAAGCGACUAAGCGUACACGGUGGAUGCCCUGGCAGUCAGAGGCGAUGAAGGGCGUGCUAAUCUGCGAUAAGCGCCGGUAAGGUGAUAUGAACCGUUAUAACCGGCGAUACCCGAAUGGGGAAACCCAGUGUGACUCGUCACACUAUCAUUAACUGAAUCCAUAGGUUAAUGAGGCGAACCGGGGGAACUGAAACAUCUAAGUACCCCGAGGAAAAGAAAUCAACCGAGAUUCCCCCAGUAGCGGCGAGCGAACGGGGAGGAGCCCAGAGCCUGAAUCAGCAUGUGUGUUAGUGGAAGCGUCUGGAAAGGCGCGCGAUACAGGGUGACAGCCCCGUACACAAAAGCGCAUGUGCUGUGAGCUCGAUGAGUAGGGCGGGACACGUGGUAUCCUGUCUGAAUAUGGGGGGACCAUCCUCCAAGGCUAAAUACUCCUGACUGACCGAUAGUGAACCAGUACCGUGAGGGAAAGGCGAAAAGAACCCCGGCGAGGGGAGUGAAAAAGAACCUGAAACCGUGUACGUACAAGCAGUGGGAGCCCCACCACCAAAGCAUUCUCUGGUGUUGAAGGCCCUGCAAAGCAGCAUCGCGGUGGCGGAGCGUCGUUUGCGACGCCCAACACACAAAACAAGCGGUGAAUGCUUUGGGGUGGGGUGACUGCGUACCUUUUGUAUAAUGGGUCAGCGACUUAUAUUCUGUAGCAAGGUUAACCGAAUAGGGGAGCCGGAGGGAAACCGAGUCUUAAUUGGGCGUUAAGUUGCAGGGUAUAGACCCGAAACCCGGUGAUCUAGCCAUGGGCAGGUUGAAGGUUGGGUAACACUAACUGGAGGACCGAACCGACUAAUGUUGAAAAAUUAGCGGAUGACCUGUGGCUGGGGGUGAAAGGCCAAUCAAACCGGGAGAUAGCUGGUUCUCCCCGAAAGCUAUUUAGGUAGCGCCUCGUGAAUUCAUCUCCGGGGGUAGAGCACUGUUUCGGCUAGGGGGCCAUCCCGGCUUACCAACCCGAUGCAAACUGCGAAUACCGGAGAAUGUUAUCACGGGAGACACACGGCGGGUGCUAACGUCCGUCGUGAAGAGGGAAACAACCCAGACCGCCAGCUAAGGUCCCAAAGUCAUGGUUAAGUGGGAAACGAUGUGGGAAGGCCCAGACAGCCAGGAUGUUGGCUUAGAAGCAGCCAUCAUUUAAAGAAAGCGUAAUAGCUCACUGGUCGAGUCGGCCUGCGCGGAAGAUGUAACGGGGCUAAACCAUGCACCGAAGCUGCGGCAGCGAACGUAUCACCCAAGACAACUUUACGGAGUUGACGAUUGACGGAGCGAAGCGACGUCAAAGCGUUCAUUAAAGUCGAGUUGGCUUAGGGAUACGUUCGUUGGGUAGGGGAGCGUUCUGUAAGCCUGUGAAGGUGUGUCGUGAGGCAUGCUGGAGGUAUCAGAAGUGCGAAUGCUGACAUAAGUAACGAUAAAGCGGGUGAAAAGCCCGCUCGCCGGAAGACCAAGGGUUCCUGUCCAACGUUAAUCGGGGCAGGGUGAGUCGACCCCUAAGGCGAGGCCGAAAGGCGUAGUCGAUGGGAAACGGGUUAAUAUUCCCGUACUUGGUGUUACUGCGAAGGGGGGACGGAGAAGGCUAUGUUGGCCGGGCGACGGUUGUCCCGGUUUAAGCGUGUAGGUGUGUGUUCCAGGUAAAUCCGGUUCACUUUAACACUGAGGCGUGACGACGAGGCACUACGGUGCUGAAGCAACAAAUGCCCUGCUUCCAGGAAAAGCCUCUAAGCAUCAGGUAACAUCAAAUCGUACCCCAAACCGACACAGGUGGUCAGGUAGAGAAUACCAAGGCGCUUGAGAGAACUCGGGUGAAGGAACUAGGCAAAAUGGUGCCGUAACUUCGGGAGAAGGCACGCUGACACGUAGGUGAAGUGAUUUACUCAUGGAGCUGAAGUCAGUCGAAGAUACCAGCUGGCUGCAACUGUUUAUUAAAAACACAGCACUGUGCAAACACGAAAGUGGACGUAUACGGUGUGACGCCUGCCCGGUGCCGGAAGGUUAAUUGAUGGGGUCAGCGCAAGCGAAGCUCCUGAUCGAAGCCCCGGUAAACGGCGGCCGUAACUAUAACGGUCCUAAGGUAGCGAAAUUCCUUGUCGGGUAAGUUCCGACCUGCACGAAUGGCGUAAUGAUGGCCAGGCUGUCUCCACCCGAGACUCAGUGAAAUUGAACUCGCUGUGAAGAUGCAGUGUACCCGCGGCAAGACGGAAAGACCCCGUGAACCUUUACUAUAGCUUGACACUGAACAUUGAGCCUUGAUGUGUAGGAUAGGUGGGAGGCUUUGAAGUGUGGACGCCAGUCUGCAUGGAGCCGACCUUGAAAUACCACCCUUUAAUGUUUGAUGUUCUAACGUGGACCCGUAAUCCGGGUUGCGGACAGUGUCUGGUGGGUAGUUUGACUGGGGCGGUCUCCUCCUAAAGAGUAACGGAGGAGCACGAAGGUUGGCUAAUCCUGGUCGGACAUCAGGAGGUUAGUGCAAUGGCAUAAGCCAGCUUGACUGCGAGCGUGACGGCGCGAGCAGGUGCGAAAGCAGGUCAUAGUGAUCCGGUGGUUCUGAAUGGAAGGGCCAUCGCUCAACGGAUAAAAGGUACUCCGGGGAUAACAGGCUGAUACCGCCCAAGAGUUCAUAUCGACGGCGGUGUUUGGCACCUCGAUGUCGGCUCAUCACAUCCUGGGGCUGAAGUAGGUCCCAAGGGUAUGGCUGUUCGCCAUUUAAAGUGGUACGCGAGCUGGGUUUAGAACGUCGUGAGACAGUUCGGUCCCUAUCUGCCGUGGGCGCUGGAGAACUGAGGGGGGCUGCUCCUAGUACGAGAGGACCGGAGUGGACGCAUCACUGGUGUUCGGGUUGUCAUGCCAAUGGCACUGCCCGGUAGCUAAAUGCGGAAGAGAUAAGUGCUGAAAGCAUCUAAGCACGAAACUUGCCCCGAGAUGAGUUCUCCCUGAGACUUAGAGUCUCCUGAAGGAACGUUGAAGACGACGACGUUGAUAGGCCGGGUGUGUAAGCGCAGCGAUGCGUUGAGCUAACCGGUACUAAUGAACCGUGAGGCUUAACCUU